RNAcentral lists this ribosomal RNA (468 nucleotides) under uncultured bacterium. Its description in RNAcentral is "partial 16S ribosomal RNA". It matches the Rfam family "Bacterial small subunit ribosomal RNA", at positions 28 to 507 of the family's 1533-position model. The record is from RNAcentral.
GACGAACGCUGGCGGCGUGCUCAACACAUGCAAGUCGAACGGAAAGGCCCUGCUUUUGUGGGGUGCUCGAGUGGCGAACGGGUGAGUAACACGUGAGUAACCUGCCCUUGACUUCGGGAUAACUUCAGGAAACUGGGGCUAAUACCGGAUAGGAGCUCCUGCUGCAUGGUGGGGGUUGGAUAGUUUCGGCGGUUGGGGAUGGACUCGCGGCUUCUCAGCUUGUUGGUGGGGUAGUGGCUUACCCAGGCUUUGACGGGUAGCCGGCCUGAGAGGGUGAACGGCCACAUUGGAACUGAUGUACGGCCCAGCCUCCUACGGGAGGCAGCAGUGGGGAAUAUUGCACAAUGGGCGGAAGCCUGAUGCAGCAACGCCGCGUGCUGGAUGACGGCCUUCGGGUUGUAAACCGCUUUCGCCUGUGACGAAGCGUGAGUGACGGUAAUGGGUAAAGAAGCACCGGCUAACUACGUG